GAUCGAACGGCGUAGCUACAGGCGUUAACACAUGCAAGUCGAGGGGGCAGGCGACGAGUGUAGCAAUACAUGGGCGGCGACCGGCGCACGGGUGCGUAACGCGUAUCCAACCUUCCCGUUACUCAGGGAUAGCCUUCCGAAAGGGAGAUUAAUACCUGAUGGUGUUCAAAUUCCGCAUGUUAUUUGAACUAAAGAUUAAUCGGUAACGGAUGGGGAUGCGUGACAUUAGAUAGUAGGCGGGGUAACGGCCCACCUAGUCUACGAUGUCUAGGGGUUCUGAGAGGAAGGUCCCCCACACUGGAACUGAGACACGGUCCAG
This 319-nucleotide ribosomal RNA is filed under the name uncultured bacterium. Its description in RNAcentral is "bacterial SSU rRNA". It matches the Rfam family "Bacterial small subunit ribosomal RNA", at positions 48 to 334 of the family's 1533-position model. The record is from RNAcentral.